RNAcentral lists this long non-coding RNA (482 nucleotides) under Volvox carteri. Its description in RNAcentral is "long non-coding RNA (VCAR_LNC002687)". Lineage: Eukaryota; Viridiplantae; Chlorophyta; Chlorophyceae; Chlamydomonadales; Volvocaceae. The record is from RNAcentral.
GGCCGUGGCGAAGCAACCGAAUGGUUGUAUCGCCCAGAGGCCUUACGCCAACAAACCCGGCUUCCGUAUUUCAAGCCCCCAUGAGUGUCAGGAUCCACUCAGGGGUCAUCCGGCUCCACAGAGACCUAAAAUCUUUCGCCCUUAUCCUCGUCUAUUUCUUGGUUGUGGAGUGCCAUUCUCUGCCCGCAACAAGGUGCCCGUACUUUAAAAGAAAAACAACCUAAAUAAUCUAAGCUACUGCACUUCAAGCUUUUAUAUGAUAUCAGGCUGACAAGGUUUCCCAGCAUAUUUAUGGCUUUAGCUGGCGCAGAGUAUGCUGCUAAGCUGAACAGGCAUGCUUGCCCGAAGGGCGGCGGUCGUUGACCGCUCGGACUGCUAUCGUCCACCUUCUGCAAUGCAUGCAUAGGAAUGUACAGCUGAAUGUUUAAUGUUACCUAAAAUCUCUGCUGAUUUAACGCUCGCAGGUAAAUUUUGGAGCAUGC